Molecule: ribosomal RNA, 253 nt
Filed under: uncultured bacterium
Lineage: Bacteria
Description: partial 16S ribosomal RNA
Rfam family: Bacterial small subunit ribosomal RNA
Source: RNAcentral
GACAGAGGGUGCAAACGUUGUUCGGAAUUACUGGGCGUAAAGCGCGUGUAGGCGGCUCGGAAAGUCGGGUGUGAAAGCCCUGGGCUCAACCUAGGAAGUGCACUCGAAACUUCCGAGCUGGAGUUCUGGAGAGGAAGGCGGAAUUCUCGGUGUAGAGGUGAAAUUCGUAGAUAUCGAGAGGAACACCGGUGGCGAAGGCGGCCUUCUGGACAGCAACUGACGCUGAGACGCGAAAGCGUGGGGAGCAAACAGG